UAUGAGACUGACUUGAGUAUUCGGGACUCUGGGCUUCUCAACAAUCUUGUCCAUCUGCAGCAACUUGAAACAUUGAGUUUUAUACUUUGCUUUAAGCUUUUGCCAGCAAGUGCAAUUGCUUUUCCAGCAAUGCUCAAGAAGCUGAAGUUGGAAGCAACUGCUCUAAGUUGGUCGUACUUGGACAUCAUAGCUGAGUUGCCUAACCUUGAGGUGCUGAAGCUGAUGGGUGGUGCUUGUCGUGGAUAUGAAUGGCAUCCAAAUGUUAGGGGAUUUACUCGAUUAAAGUUUUUGUUAAUUUCAGAUAAUUCUCUCAAGUACUGGAAAGCCACAAUGACAAUUUUCCUGUACUUGAGCGCCUUGUGCUUAAAGAAAGCAGAAAUUUGAAAGAGAUACCCUUUGAGUUUGCAGAAAUCUACACACUACAACUGAUUGAAUUAGAUUGGUGUCUUCUCGAACUUGGGGAAUCUGCUGCACGAAUUCAAAAAGAACAAGAAGACAUCGGAAACAACCCCGUGAAUGUUCGUAUCUCCAAUCCAUACCGGAGUAAGAAGGCUUGAGCUCGUCCUAAGUAUGGUGGGAUUCUUCGAGCAGCUUUUGGGAAAAAAGAAAACAAGGAGAGGACGAGCAACAAGAGCAUGCAAUCGGUUUCUAUUCAAUAUGGGGAGUUUGAUUCGUUAAAUUUAUGUUGUAAUGUCUUCUAAUUUGUUAAUUCUUAUUGUGGUGUUUCUCCUUCAUGGAGCAAUUUAUGUAGUUGGAACUGGAUGAUGAUUUAGUUCAGACUUUAGUUUCUUGGUUUAAUAUUUAUUGUGUAUGUUUGACUUCUUCAACUCAAUGAUACUCCACAGAAGUAAUAUAGUAGCUCAUGUUCUUGAA
Capsicum annuum is the source of this 873-nucleotide RNA transcript. RefSeq lists it as uncharacterized. The transcript has 2 exons. The record is from RefSeq and is a predicted model, not a curated record. NCBI's taxonomy places the organism in Eukaryota, Viridiplantae, Streptophyta, Magnoliopsida, Solanales, Solanaceae.